AGUUGAUCCCAAAGUCGAACGCGUUCUGUCGUGGAGAAGGGUUUCAUGUGAACAGCAGUAAGACACAUUUCAAUCCAGCUCUCAGCUUUGAAGAAAUCAGAGUGUUUCAAGCAUGCACUUGUGAUCAGCGUUUUAGCCUGACACAA
This 146-nucleotide ribosomal RNA is filed under the name Noctiluca scintillans. RNAcentral describes it as "partial Eukaryotic small subunit ribosomal RNA". Lineage: Eukaryota; Dinophyceae; Noctilucales; Noctilucaceae. The record is from RNAcentral.